Molecule: ribosomal RNA, 475 nt
Filed under: uncultured bacterium
Lineage: Bacteria
Description: bacterial SSU rRNA
Rfam family: Bacterial small subunit ribosomal RNA
Source: RNAcentral
ACGAACGCUGGCGGCGUGCUUAACACAUGCAAGUCGAACGGAUCCAGUAGCAAUAUUGGGUUAGUGGCGAACGGGUGAGUAACACGUGACCAAUCUGCCCCGAACUGGGGAAUAACGUCGGGAAACUGACGCUAAUACCGCAUAUUGAGACGGGUCCACAUGGAUUUGUCUUGAAAGCUUCGGCGGUUCGGGAUGAGGUCGCGCCCCAUUAGCUUGUUGGCGGGGUAAUGGCCCACCAAGGCGACGAUGGGUAGCUGGUCUGAGAGGACGAUCAGCCACACUGGGACUGAGAUACGGCCCAGACUCCUAUGGGAGGCAGCAGUGAGGAAUAUUGCGCAAUGGGCGAAAGCCUGACGCAGCAACGCCGCGUGAAGGAUGAAGGUGGUUUCCAUUGUAAACUUCUGUAGGGGGGGACGAAUAACCCGGUAUUGCCGGGUAUGACGGUACCCCCAAAGUAAGCACCGGCUAACUCCGU